Molecule: small RNA, 135 nt
Filed under: Thermotalea metallivorans
Lineage: Bacteria; Bacillati; Bacillota; Clostridia; Peptostreptococcales; Thermotaleaceae
Description: c-di-AMP sequence
Rfam family: c-di-AMP riboswitch aptamer (ydaO/yuaA leader)
About the family: This family represents a conserved RNA structure found upstream of the ydaO and yuaA genes in Bacillus subtilis and related genes in other bacteria.
Source: RNAcentral
ACAUUACAUUUGCUGAAUCCCGGAUAUUCCGGGUACGGAGGAACCAAUUUUGGGGUUAAUCCAUGUAUUUCAUGGUAGGGAACCUUCUAUCCCGAACCCGUCAGCUAACUUCGGAAGCAUAGAAAGGAAGGAGUG